UCAAAAACAUGUCCUUUUGUUAAUAAUUUAAGGUCUGACCUGCCCAAUGAAUGUUUAAAUGGCCGCAGUAUUUUGACUGUGCAAAGGUAGCAUAAUCAUUAGUUUUUUAAUUGUAAGCUGGAAUGAAUGGUUUGAUGAGAAAAUAACUGUCUCAAUUUAAUUGUUUUAGAAUUUUAAUUUUAAGUGAAAAAGCUUAAAUUUUUAAGGAAGACGAGAAGACCCUAUAGAGUUUAAUAAUUCUAUAUUAUGAUUGGUUUUAGUUUUAUUUAAAAUUUUAAUAUGGAAUUAUUUUAUUGGGGUGAUAUUAAAAUUUAAUGAACUUUUAAUUUAUUAUAACAUUUUUUUGUGAUUAUUUGAUCCUAACUUUUAGAUUAUAAGAUAAAAUUACCUUAGGGAUAACAGCGUAAUUUUUUUUAAGAGUUCUUAUCGAAAAAAAAGUUUGCGACCUCGAUGU
Molecule: ribosomal RNA, 454 nt
Filed under: Callyntra andina
Lineage: Eukaryota; Metazoa; Arthropoda; Insecta; Coleoptera; Tenebrionidae
Description: partial large subunit ribosomal RNA
Rfam family: Bacterial large subunit ribosomal RNA
Source: RNAcentral